RNAcentral lists this ribosomal RNA (1492 nucleotides) under Lactiplantibacillus plantarum. RNAcentral's name for it is "bacterial SSU rRNA". It matches the Rfam family "Bacterial small subunit ribosomal RNA". Lineage: Bacteria; Bacillati; Bacillota; Bacilli; Lactobacillales; Lactobacillaceae. The record is from RNAcentral.
GGGCUGCUAUACAUGCAAGUCGAACGAACUCUGGUAUUGAUUGGUGCUUGCAUCAUGAUUUACAUUUGAGUGAGUGGCGAACUGGUGAGUAACACGUGGGAAACCUGCCCAGAAGCGGGGGAUAACACCUGGAAACAGAUGCUAAUACCGCAUAACAACUUGGACCGCAUGGUCCGAGUUUGAAAGAUGGCUUCGGCUAUCACUUUUGGAUGGUCCCGCGGCGUAUUAGCUAGAUGGUGGGGUAACGGCUCACCAUGGCAAUGAUACGUAGCCGACCUGAGAGGGUAAUCGGCCACAUUGGGACUGAGACACGGCCCAAACUCCUACGGGAGGCAGCAGUAGGGAAUCUUCCACAAUGGACGAAAGUCUGAUGGAGCAACGCCGCGUGAGUGAAGAAGGGUUUCGGCUCGUAAAACUCUGUUGUUAAAGAAGAACAUAUCUGAGAGUAACUGUUCAGGUAUUGACGGUAUUUAACCAGAAAGCCACGGCUAACUACGUGCCAGCAGCCGCGGUAAUACGUAGGUGGCAAGCGUUGUCCGGAUUUAUUGGGCGUAAAGCGAGCGCAGGCGGUUUUUUAAGUCUGAUGUGAAAGCCUUCGGCUCAACCGAAGAAGUGCAUCGGAAACUGGGAAACUUGAGUGCAGAAGAGGACAGUGGAACUCCAUGUGUAGCGGUGAAAUGCGUAGAUAUAUGGAAGAACACCAGUGGCGAAGGCGGCUGUCUGGUCUGUAACUGACGCUGAGGCUCGAAAGUAUGGGUAGCAAACAGGAUUAGAUACCCUGGUAGUCCAUACCGUAAACGAUGAAUGCUAAGUGUUGGAGGGUUUCCGCCCUUCAGUGCUGCAGCUAACGCAUUAAGCAUUCCGCCUGGGGAGUACGGCCGCAAGGCUGAAACUCAAAGGAAUUGACGGGGGCCCGCACAAGCGGUGGAGCAUGUGGUUUAAUUCGAAGCUACGCGAAGAACCUUACCAGGUCUUGACAUACUAUGCAAAUCUAAGAGAUUAGACGUUCCCUUCGGGGACAUGGAUACAGGUGGUGCAUGGUUGUCGUCAGCUCGUGUCGUGAGAUGUUGGGUUAAGUCCCGCAACGAGCGCAACCCUUAUUAUCAGUUGCCAGCAUUAAGUUGGGCACUCUGGUGAGACUGCCGGUGACAAACCGGAGGAAGGUGGGGAUGACGUCAAAUCAUCAUGCCCCUUAUGACCUGGGCUACACACGUGCUACAAUGGAUGGUACAACGAGUUGCGAACUCGCGAGAGUAAGCUAAUCUCUUAAAGCCAUUCUCAGUUCGGAUUGUAGGCUGCAACUCGCCUACAUGAAGUCGGAAUCGCUAGUAAUCGCGGAUCAGCAUGCCGCGGUGAAUACGUUCCCGGGCCUUGUACACACCGCCCGUCACACCAUGAGAGUUUGUAACACCCAAAGUCGGUGGGGUAACCUUUUAGGAACCAGCCGCCUAAGGUGGGACAGAUGAUUAGGGUGAAGUCGUAACAAGGGGGC